Molecule: ribosomal RNA, 253 nt
Filed under: uncultured bacterium
Lineage: Bacteria
Description: partial 16S ribosomal RNA
Rfam family: Bacterial small subunit ribosomal RNA
Source: RNAcentral
GACGUAGGGCGCGAGCGUUGUCCGGAUUUAUUGGGCGUAAAGAGCUCGUAGGCGGCUUGUCGCGUCGAAUGUGAAAACUUGGGGCUCAACCCUAAGCCUGCAUUCGAUACGGGCAGGCUAGAGUUCGGUAGGGGAGACUGGAAUUCCUGGUGUAGCGGUGAAAUGCGCAGAUAUCAGGAGGAACACCGGUGGCGAAGGCGGGUCUCUGGGCCGAUACUGACGCUGAGGAGCGAAAGCGUGGGGAGCGAACAGG